GACAGAGGAGCCAAGCGUUGUCCGGAUUUACUGGGCGUAAAGAGCGCGCAGGCGGUCGUUCAAGUCGCGUGUGAAAGCCCCCGGCUCAACUGGGGAGGGUCACGCGAUACUGAUCGACUCGAAGGCAGGAGAGGGAAGUGGAAUUCCCGGUGUAGUGGUGAAAUGCGUAGAUAUCGGGAGGAACACCAGUGGCGAAGGCGACUUCCUGGCCUGUUCUUGACGCUGAGGCGCGAAAGCUAGGGGAGCAAACGGG
RNAcentral lists this ribosomal RNA (253 nucleotides) under uncultured bacterium. RNAcentral's name for it is "partial 16S ribosomal RNA". It matches the Rfam family "Bacterial small subunit ribosomal RNA", at positions 524 to 776 of the family's 1533-position model. The record is from RNAcentral.